GACGAACGCUGGCGGCGUGCUUAACACAUGCAAGUCGAACGGAAAGGCCCUGCUUUUGUGGGGUGCUCGAGUGGCGAACGGGUGAGUAACACGUGAGUAACCUGCCCUUGACUUUGGGAUAACUUCAGGAAACUGGGGCUAAUACCGGAUAGGAGCUCCUGCUGCAUGGUGGGGGUUGGAAAGUCUCGGCGGUUGGGGAUGGACUCGCGGCUUAUCAGCUUGUUGGUGGGGUAGUGGCUUACCAAGGCUUUGACGGGUAGCCGGCCUGAGAGGGUGACCGGCCACAUUGGGACUGAGAUACGGCCCAGACUCCUACGGGAGGCAGCAGUGGGGAAUAUUGCACAAUGGGCGGAAGCCUGAUGCAGCAACGCCGCGUGCGGGAUGACGGCCUUCGGGUUGUAAACCGCUUUCGCCUGUGACGAAGCGUGAGUGACGGUAAUGGGUAAAGAAGCACCGACUAACUACGUG
RNAcentral lists this ribosomal RNA (468 nucleotides) under uncultured bacterium. Its description in RNAcentral is "partial 16S ribosomal RNA". It matches the Rfam family "Bacterial small subunit ribosomal RNA", at positions 28 to 507 of the family's 1533-position model. The record is from RNAcentral.